RNAcentral lists this long non-coding RNA (1568 nucleotides) under Anser brachyrhynchus (Pink-footed goose). RNAcentral describes it as "lncRNA (ENSABRG00000019265.1)". Lineage: Eukaryota; Metazoa; Chordata; Aves; Anseriformes; Anatidae. The record is from RNAcentral.
UCUCUGUGAUGUGAAGACAAAAGAAGCAAGUUGCUGGGGAGAGGGAGAGAACUCGUUAGAAAGUGGCUGAUGUAGCUGGAAGAUAUCAGCCAGGUUUUGGCACACAAUCCUUUCUUCACAUCUUCAGCUCAUCAGUUGGGUUAUUGAGAAGAUCAGCUAAAAAGACCUUGGAAAAUGCCACAGACAUCACCUCUCCCAGCUGCGUCUCUCUUUCUUCUGCUUCUCCUGUUUGUCCCUGGCCAGAGUGGUGAAGAAAAUGCAUUUCUUGAACAGUCAACAGACGUGGUCAGUGUUUGGGAAGGAGACUCCGUCAGCAUAACUUGCUCAAUGUACAAUUCAGAAAAUGAACUGGGGACAUACUUGAGGACUAGAGUAUCACCAGAAAAUGUUUUAUAUGUUCCCAAGGAUAACAAACCAGCUGUCCCUUCAGCUUUUGCGAAUCGCAUCAAGUAUUCAAAGGAAGGAGCAAAAUUCACAGUAACUCUGCUCAAUGCACAGGAAUCUGAUUCAAAUUUCUACCUAUGCGUCAGGUUUAUUAAAAGAAACGGCCGUCACGUCAGGCUGGAUGGGAAGACAACCAUUGUAGUGGUGAAAGCUGCUGUGGUUCCACCUGUUAAGUUAGGAAUUAAUAAACAUGGAGCUGGAAUUGUUGAACAGUUGCCACGCAUUGUCGAUAUUCAACAAGGCCAGUCUAUCAGCAUUACCUGUGCAUUGAAUAGUUCAUAUGAAGAUGAAGAGAUCUGCUUGCUCAAGAUUCACAUGCAACCUGAAGGAGUGCUACGUGUUUCAAGUCAGAAAGCUCUAGAAAUCUUUCCUGCUUUUGCUAAUCGCUUGGAGUAUUCAAAGCAAGAGAAGAAACUAGUGAUAACUCUACACAACCUACAGCAAAGUGACAGUGACGUGUAUGUAUGUGCUACGGUGCUGAAAAAUUCCUCUCUCUUCUCAGUGAGUCAAAGAGGCACCAUGGUGCUGGUUAAAGGAGGGGAGGAGACAGCAUUCCAUAAUAGUUCCUGGGCCUACUAUGUUCUUAUCAUCAUGGCAGUGCUGCUGUUUUCUGUGCUGACGUGCUACGCCCUGUACUUUGUCCAUACGAAGAAAUAUUUCCAGAAAAGAAAAACAAAUACAGUGUAUGAAGAUAUGUCUUAUGGUUCUAGACGCAACACCUUCAUCAAACCUAACGUUUACACCAGCGACUCUUAAGCUUCUGUUGGCUGGGACCGUGUAUGGAUCAACUGUUCCCUUCCAGGUGCCUCUGAGAGCCGCCUUGGCAACUUGAUGUAGUAGCUGAACUGAAAAUGCUAUCGUCUACCUUCUUUAGUCGCAGGAAAAAUCUGCCUUAUUUCCAAAGCUGUUUUUACUUAUUUUGGUCACUUGUGAAAUAGCUUUUACUUUUCCAUGUUCAGAACAUGCAUGUACCCUGCACAUUUGUUUGCAGUGUAGUAUGGAAAGCAGUAUUUUUGGAGUGUACAUUUGGCUAGAUGCAAUAUAUGGGAUUGUUUCUGUGAUGAUAGAUAACCCUUUCAGGGAAGGUGAGAUAGUUUGAGAGGUCUCAUUUUGAACUUUCAUAA